RNAcentral lists this unclassified non-coding RNA (535 nucleotides) under Hevea brasiliensis (rubber tree). Lineage: Eukaryota; Viridiplantae; Streptophyta; Magnoliopsida; Malpighiales; Euphorbiaceae. The record is from RNAcentral.
AGAUUCCGAGACACCUGUGCUGAGGCUGACAGAUUCUUCAAAAGAAAGGGUUUGAGAUCCAAUCAGGAAAAGGAAGCAUGUAAAAGCAUUCUUGCAGUAAAUACAGAAGUUAAGCCUAUUGCUGUGAAAGGAGAUAGAAGCAAGUCUGUACUGUUUGAUGGAAGUAUGCUUGCUCAAGAGCUCGAUAAUUUGGAGAAGAAAUGGGAGAUACUGAGCAAAGUGUGGGUGGAAUUGUUGUCAUAUGCUGCUAGCCACUGCAGAGCGAACGCCCAUGCCCAGCAGAUAAGUAAAGGUGGAGAGCUUAUUACUUUGGUUUGGUUAUUGAUGGCUCAUUUUGGACUAGGGGACCAGUUCCAAAUCAAUGAGGGUCAUGCAAGAGCAAAACUGAUUGUAGGCAAGUAGCUCUAUCAAACAGCAAUAUGUUAGAUUGAUGAUUUAGUAUCCAGGUCUUCUCUUUUCUUUAUUGAAUUGUGUUUUCUGUUUUAUUUUCUUUUUCUGCUCCAAUGUUGGCUGGCCAGGACAACAUAAUUUGCAC